This 118-nucleotide ribosomal RNA is filed under the name Lepisosteus oculatus (spotted gar). Lineage: Eukaryota; Metazoa; Chordata; Actinopteri; Semionotiformes; Lepisosteidae. The record is from RNAcentral.
CCCAGCAGCUGUAUCGCCCUGCAACUCACAACUGGCAGCCCACUGAAGCUCAGCAGGUGUGAGCCUGGUCAGUACCUGGAUGGGAGACCUCCUUGAAAAGCUAAGGUUGCUGCUGGAA